Molecule: ribosomal RNA, 305 nt
Filed under: uncultured bacterium
Lineage: Bacteria
Description: bacterial SSU rRNA
Rfam family: Bacterial small subunit ribosomal RNA
Source: RNAcentral
UCGACCCUACGGGACGCAGCAGUGGGGAAUAUUGGACAAUGGGGGGAACCCUGAUCCAGCGACGCCGCGUGAGUGAAGAAGUAUUUCGGUAUGUAAAGCUCUAUCAGCAGGGAAGAAAAUGACGGUACCUGACUAAGAAGCCCCGGCUUACUACGUGCCAGCAGCCGCGGUAAUACGUAGGGGGCAAGCGUUAUCCGGAUUUACUGGGUGUAAAGGGGGCGCAGACGGCAAUGCAAGCCAGGAGUGAAAGCCCGGGGCCCAACCCCGGGACUGCUCUUGGAACUGCAUGGCUGGAGUACAGGAGG